This 546-nucleotide ribosomal RNA is filed under the name uncultured Glomeromycotina. Its description in RNAcentral is "SSU rRNA". It matches the Rfam family "Eukaryotic small subunit ribosomal RNA", at positions 548 to 1098 of the family's 1831-position model. The record is from RNAcentral. Lineage: Eukaryota; Fungi; Glomeromycota.
UUGGAGGGCAAGUCUGGUGCCAGCAGCCGCGGUAAUUCCAGCUCCAAUAGCGUAUAUUAAAGUUGUUGCAGUUAAAAAGCUCGUAGUUGAAUUUCGGGAUUAGUACGCUGGUCGUGCCUUCGGUACGUACUGGUGUUACUGAUUUCUACCUUCUGACGAACCAUCAUGUCAUUAAUUUGGUGUGGUGGGGAAUCAGGACUGUUACUUUGAAAAAAUUAGAGUGUUUAAAGCAGGCUCGCGCUUGAAUACAUUAGCAUGGAAUAAUGGAAUAGGACGUUGAUCCUAUUUUGUUGGUUUCUAGGAUUGACGUAAUGAUUAAUAGGGAUAGUUGGGGGCAUUAGUAUUCAAUUGUCAGAGGUGAAAUUCUUGGAUUUAUUGAAGACUAACUACUGCGAAAGCAUUUGCCAAGGAUGUUUUCAUUAAUCAUGAACGAAAGUUAGGGGAUCGAAGACGAUCAGAUACCGUCGUAGUCUUAACCAUAAACUAUGCCGACUAGGGAUCGGAUGAUGUUAUUUUUAAUGACUCAUUCGGCGCCUUACGGGAAAC